UACGGAGGGUGCGAGCGUUAUCCGGAUUUAUUGGGUUUAAAGGGUGCGUAGGCGGAUCGUUAAGUCAGUGGUCAAAUUGAGGGGCUCAACCCCUUCCCGCCAUUGAAACUGGCGCUCUUGAGUGGAAGAGAAGUAUGCGGAAUGCGUGGUGUAGCGGUGAAAUGCAUAGAUAUCACGCAGAACCCCGAUUGCGAAGGCAGCAUGCCGGCUUCCGACUGACGCUGAAGCACGAAAGCGUGGGGAUCGAACAGG
This 252-nucleotide ribosomal RNA is filed under the name uncultured bacterium. RNAcentral describes it as "partial 16S ribosomal RNA". It matches the Rfam family "Bacterial small subunit ribosomal RNA", at positions 524 to 776 of the family's 1533-position model. The record is from RNAcentral.